GUGAUUCUCCAGGCCAUAUAAUAAACUUGGAACAAUAUGGAGAGGAUUAGAGUUGAUCUUGCACAAGGAUGACAAACACAUUUGUGAAGCAUUCCAUAUUUGA
Trichosurus vulpecula (common brushtail) is the source of this 103-nucleotide small nuclear RNA. The record is from RefSeq and is a predicted model, not a curated record. NCBI's taxonomy places the organism in Eukaryota, Metazoa, Chordata, Mammalia, Diprotodontia, Phalangeridae.